This is a long non-coding RNA of Canis lupus familiaris (dog), 270 nucleotides long. RefSeq lists it as uncharacterized. Lineage: Eukaryota; Metazoa; Chordata; Mammalia; Carnivora; Canidae. The transcript has 2 exons. The record is from RefSeq and is a predicted model, not a curated record.
CUGUCUGCAGGGACCAGCACCGGAAUACAGAAAGGUGAAUUUGGCUUGGUAUAAGAGAAGCAAAUUGGUUCUAAAAAUGGAGGUGAGGAGAAUCUAUUCCACCAAACAGCCAAAGGGCCAAGAAGUUGGAUGCCCACCUCCUAGAAGAUUGCCAUCCCUUAGGACUUGGUGAAUGCUGUGGAGACACAUGUUCUGUCUGGAGCAAGCCAUUUAGUCCAAUAAGCACACUGUUCGUUUCAGCAAAAUAAAAAUAUCCCAUGGAAAAUCCAA